AAGUUUAGUAAUCAAAGCCGUACCGUAAACCGACACAGGUGGGUGGGAUGAGUAUUCUAAGGCGCGUGGAAGAACUCUCUUUAAGGAACUCUGCAAAAUAGCACCGUAUCUUCGGUAUAAGGUGUGCCUACCAGGUGUUAAAGCCCUAGAGGUUACAACAAAGAGUCCCUCCCGACUGUUUACCAAAAACACAGCACUCUGCUAACUCGUAAGAGGAUGUAUAGGGUGUGACGCCUGCCCGGUGCUCGAAGGUUAAUUGAUGGGGUUAGCAUUAGCGAAGCUCUUGAUCGAAGCCCGAGUAAACGGCGGCCGUAACUAUAACGGUCCUAAGGUAGCGAAAUUCCUUGUCGAUUAAAUAUCGACCUGCAUGAAUGGCGUAACGAGAUGGGAGCUGUCUCAAAGAGGGAUCCAGUGAAAUUGUAGUGGAGGUGAAAAUUCCUCCUACCCGCGGCAAGACGGAAAGACCCGUGGACCUUUACUAUAGCUUGACACUGCUACUUGGAUAAAAAUGCGCAGGAUAGGUGGGAGCUUUGAUCCAUAGAUUUUGGUUUAUGGUGAGCCAUUGUUGAGAUACCACUCUUUUUUAUUUGGGUAGCUAACUAGCAUGAGUUAUCCUCAUGUAGGACAAUGUCUGGUGGGUAGUUUGACUGGGGCGGUCGCCUCCCAAAAUGUAACGGAGGCUUACAAAGGUUAGUUCAGAACGGUUGGAAAUCGUUCGUAGAGUAUAAAGGCAUAAACUAGCUUAACUGUGAGGCAUACAAGCCGAGCAGAGACGAAAGUCGGUCUUAGUGAUCCGGUGGUUCUGUGUGGAAGGGCCAUCGCUCAAAGGAUAAAAGGUACCCCGGGGAUAACAGGCUGAUCUCCCCCAAGAGCUCACAUCGACGGGGAGGUUUGGCACCUCGAUGUCGGCUCAUCGCAUCCUGGGGCUGGAGCAGGUCCCAAGGGUAUGGCUGUUCGCCAUUUAAAGCGGUACGCGAGCUGGGUUCAGAACGUCGUGAGACAGUUCGGUCCCUAUCUGCCGUGGGCGUAAGAAGAUUGAGGAGAGUUGACCCUAGUACGAGAGGACCGGGUCGAACCAACCACUGGUGUAUGGGUUGUUCUGCCAAGAGCAUCGCCCAGUAGCUAAGUUGGGAUGUGAUAAGAGCUGAAAGCAUCUAAGCUCGAAGCCAACUCCAAGAUGAAUCUUCUUUUAAGAGCUCUUAUAGACUAUAAGUUUGAUAGGCUGGAUGUGUAAGUGAUGUAAGUCAUUUAGCUGACCAGUACUAAUAGCUCGUUUGCUUAUCUUU
Molecule: ribosomal RNA, 1286 nt
Filed under: Campylobacter sputorum subsp. bubulus
Lineage: Bacteria; Pseudomonadati; Campylobacterota; Epsilonproteobacteria; Campylobacterales; Campylobacteraceae
Description: bacterial LSU rRNA
Rfam family: Bacterial large subunit ribosomal RNA
Source: RNAcentral